Molecule: transfer RNA, 105 nt
Filed under: Colletotrichum acutatum
Lineage: Eukaryota; Fungi; Ascomycota; Sordariomycetes; Glomerellales; Glomerellaceae
Description: tRNA-Val
Rfam family: tRNA
About the family: Transfer RNA (tRNA) molecules are approximately 80 nucleotides in length. Their secondary structure includes four short double-helical elements and three loops (D, anti-codon, and T loops).
Source: RNAcentral
GGUCUGGUGGUGUAGUUGGUUAUCACGUCAGUCUAACAGCUCGAGUAGCUUCACCUCUCUCGUCUGCCACACUGAAGGUCUCCGGUUCAAGUCCGGGCUAGAUCA